Non-coding RNA from Pelobates cultripes (western spadefoot toad), 523 nucleotides. NCBI's taxonomy places the organism in Eukaryota, Metazoa, Chordata, Amphibia, Anura, Pelobatidae. The record is from the annotation of a GenBank genome assembly.
ACUAUAUUACAUAAUGCCGAAACAAUGUGAUUCAUAAAGCACCAUAUGACAUAUAAACUACUAUAACGAAGUUACAUUGUCAAAUAUAUCACUGGUGUAAUUAGGACCGAAGCGAGCUUAAAUAUAAGAAGAUGCUUGCUAAGAAGCCUGGUAAAUAAAGUGGCUAAGUGGAAUGCUAUACUGCAUAUUGAAACAGAGGAAAGCACUAGAGCUAAAUGUGACUGGCAGAUAACGUGAUAAACUGGACCUUCACAUUUGGAGUGGAGGUGUGUACCAGAUAUAACAGUGCAAUUAAUCCUGAACUACACUGAAACAUUAAGAAUAAUAAGAACUUGUUGGACCACUAUACUACUGAAUUAUAAAGAACCCCAGUGGAUGCUAUACUGCUGAAUUUUUAUGUACUCAAGUCCUCAAGUAUUAAAGCGCACAUUAUGCUUAAUAAUCAGCUCCAUAAGAUCUAAUACUGAACUGCUGUAGUUAAAGGAAAGUUGAUUAUCCUUUUUAAAUCGUUUACAAAAAAAAA